Molecule: long non-coding RNA, 708 nt
Filed under: Sorghum bicolor (sorghum)
Lineage: Eukaryota; Viridiplantae; Streptophyta; Magnoliopsida; Poales; Poaceae
Description: long non-coding RNA (SBIC_LNC009685)
Source: RNAcentral
CGGGGCGGGAGCUGCUGCUGCGCGGCUUGGGCCGCGGGAUGGGCCGCGCGGCCUGCUGGCUGGCGCGAGGGGAAAGGAGAGAGAGGGGGGAAAAGCCGGCCCAGGGCGUUUGCCUCGCUUCUUUUUUUUCUUUUUUUUUUUAAAAUAGUUUUCUCCUAUUUAAUUAUUUCUCCAACAAAAACUACAAGCACCAGCACACAAAUCAAACAAAAAUAAAUGCAGCGGCAUGAAUGCAUACGAGCAAGAUUUCUACCUUAUAUUUAAUUUUAUUUAAUUUUGUAAAUUAUUUAAUAUUUCUCAAAAAUUCAAAUUGAGCCAAAAUAAAAUUAAAUUCAAACUAAAUUUAAAAUUCAAAAAUUUGGAGUGUUAUAAACCUACCCCCCUUAAAAGAAUCUCGUCCUCGAGAUUAGGAUGAACCAGGGAAUAACUGAGGGUAUUUGGAUAUUAGAUCAUCUUCUCUUUCCCAGGUUGCUUCUUCCUCGGAAUGGUGUUUCCAUUGAACUUUACACAUCCUGAUAGUUUUACUCCUGGUAAUUCUCUCUGCUGUGUCCAGGACUUUGAUAGGACUCUCUUCAUAAGUUAGAUCAUCCUGUAAAUCCAGUUCCUCUAGUGGCAACUGUUCCUCAGGCACUCUCAAGCAUUUCUUGAAUUGGGAGACAUGGAAAACAUUGUGCACGUUGGAUAAACUAACAGGCAGUUCAAGCUCAU